Molecule: ribosomal RNA, 495 nt
Filed under: uncultured bacterium
Lineage: Bacteria
Description: partial 16S ribosomal RNA
Rfam family: Bacterial small subunit ribosomal RNA
Source: RNAcentral
GACGAACGCUGGCGGCGUGCCUAAUACAUGCAAGUAGAACGCUGAAGGAGGAGCUUGCUUCUCUGGAUGAGUUGCGAACGGGUGAGUAACGCGUAGGUAACCUGCCUGGUAGCGGGGGAUAACUAUUGGAAACGAUAGCUAAUACCGCAUAAUAGCAGUUAUUGCAUGAUAACUGUUUGAAAGGUGCAAUUGCACCACUACCAGAUGGACCUGCGUUGUAUUAGCUAGUUGGUGGGGUAGCGGCUCACCAAGGCGACGAUACAUAGCCGACCUGAGAGGGUGAUCGGCCACACUGGGACUGAGACACGGCCCAGACUCCUACGGGAGGCAGCAGUAGGGAAUCUUCGGCAAUGGACGGAAGUCUGACCGAGCAACGCCGCGUGAGUGAAGAAGGUUGUCGGAUCGUAAAGCUCUGUUGUAAGAGAAGAACGAGUGUGAGAGUGGAAAGUUCACACUGUGACGGUAUCUUACCAGAAAGGGACGGCUAACUACGUG